UUGGGAAACUAAAGUGCUUAAACAUUUGGUCUGGAAUUUGCGAAAUCCCUUAAGCUGUGUCCGGGAGGAGAAAAAAAAGAGGAAAUCAGCUUGACCGCCGACAUUGAAAUGCAAAUGCAAUCAAUGGCAUAAAAUUCAUAGGCAACCCGAAGCCGAAGCCAAAGCCAGAAAACCUUCGUAUCAGACUACUACAACAGAAUAGUUGAGGACCAGGAAAACAGCAGCAACAACGGCAACAAUGGCAACUAACAGAACCACAACAGAACCUAAAGGCAACCAGGAUACCAACUACCAGCUGAGUGCGUGACCUCGGGUCAGGAAAGGAAUGGGGAGGAUUCAGCUUGGGGCUUUGUACACUUUCAAGCGUGUCGAAACUUUAGACUGGUUCAGGAGGAUGCAUGGCAGGAAAAGAGGCAGGGAAGGGAAUGUUGGCUGAUGGGUUGUUUGGCCAUUUCGCUGCAACAAAAUAAUUUCGCUGGCUCGUUUGUCAAACUAAUGGCAGGAAUUUGAGCAAUUCAAGUAACAAAGGUUAAACAAUGAAUUUCCUGUACGCCAAUAUUGAAUUUAGCUAGCCCGCUUCCUUCAGCCCCACACUUUUUUCGCAUCCCUUGACGUGCUGUGUAAAGAUGUCAUUCAGAAUUACCCCCCCUCACCCCAACUCUCUUAUCCAAUCUCAUACACACAGUUGACUAAACCGACCAAGUGUUGCCAGUAUUGAGCUUGGUCUUGGCCCUGUUUCUGGUCUAUAUCCACUUCCAUCCUGCAGCUGCUGCUGCUGCUGCUGGAACUCACACGCUCCAUUAGCGCGUCCAGAAUGUCGCCUCGAGUGGUUGAGUAGCUUGGACUUUUGCUUUAAUGAAAUAUUUGUAUAUACAUAUACUCGAAUGUAUACUCAAUUCUAAUCUGAAGUAAAUGCUUGCGCGUUAGUCCACAGU
Long non-coding RNA from Drosophila innubila, 935 nucleotides. RefSeq lists it as uncharacterized. Lineage: Eukaryota; Metazoa; Arthropoda; Insecta; Diptera; Drosophilidae. The record is from RefSeq and is a predicted model, not a curated record. The transcript has 2 exons.